GACCUCCAGACCUCUAUGGUUAGUUGGUUAGUGGCAAGCUCUAUCCUCUGAUCUUCAGACAGGCUUACUUAUACAAGCAAGAUAUCACCACAGGAAACAGUCUUGGGUUAAUGGCCCCCUUCUAAUUUCCUUUCUUUUCUCCUUCUUUUCUUUACUCUUGAUUUUCCUAUGGGAAAAAAACAUUUGCACAGUGUGUGUCUUUCUGAGUCUGGCUUCUUUUGUUUAACCUGAUGAUCUCCAGUUCCAUCUAUUUUUCAUGAAAAUGACAAGAUUUGAUUCAUCUUUCUGGCUAAACAAUGCUCCAUUUUGCUAGCAGAUGUAUAAAUUAGUCUAGUCACCAUGGAAAUCUGUGUGGAGGUUCCUCAAAAGACCAAAACUAGGAGUAUCAUGUGACCCAACGAUGUCCCUCCUGGAUUCUAAAGAGGGACUUGGAGCAGCCGUGUGAUCAGACACUGGAGCCGGUCUUGUACUCCUGUUCAUGGGCUCUCAGGCAAUUAGGAUUAUGGUUGUUGCUGACUUAGUAGAAGUGGUUGUUGCUGAUUUAGUAGGUGUGAAGUGGCAUGCCAUUGCCACCAUCUGUGUUUCCUUGAUUGCAAGAAUGAAAGGAAAAGUUACCUUCAUUGAACUUUACUGCAUGCCAAGCACUGUGGUGAUGAAUUUUGUCUCUAUUUGCCCAUGAGGACCCUGGAAAAAGAAGAAAAAGAGGAAUUUUCCAGCAGGGCAUUCAGUGAUCAGCACUCGUAGAGCUGGAAACUAAUUUUGUCAAAAAUCUGUAAUUUGUAAUUGCAUUUGUAAUUUGUAUUGCAUUAUAUACAUGAAUACACUUCCUAAAUGCAUGUCCUGUUUGAUGGCUGACUUUUAACUUAAAAUUUUAAACUUUUAUUAUUUUAAAUUUUAAUUCUGGAAUUAUUUUAAAUUCAUAGCAAAGCUCAAAGAUGUAAAGGAUUGCUAUGCACCCUUUGCCUGAGGUUGCCUAUUGUCAACAUCCUAGGAAGACUAGCAACAAAACUAUUCAAUACUUGCAAAAGUUUUAAAAUUAUAUAUUGUGUGUGUUUCUCUGUGCGUGUGUGCAUGUGUGUAUCUGUGUGUGUAUCUAUGUGUGUGUAUCUCUGUGUGUGUCUAUGUGUAUGUCUGUGUGUGUAUCUGUGUAUGUGUGCAUGUGUGUGUAUCACUAUGUCUGUAUAACUGUGUGUGCAUGUAUGUGUAUCUCUGUGUGUAUGCCUAUGUGUAGAUGUGUGUG
This 1240-nucleotide long non-coding RNA is filed under the name Cricetulus griseus (Chinese hamster). RNAcentral describes it as "lncRNA (ENSCGRG00015033913.1)". Lineage: Eukaryota; Metazoa; Chordata; Mammalia; Rodentia; Cricetidae. The record is from RNAcentral.